CCUACGGGUGGCAGCAGUCGAGAAUCAUUCACAAUGGGGGAAACCCUGAUGGUGCGACGCCGCGUGGGGGCAUGAAGGUCUUCGGAUUGUAAACCCCUGUCAUGUGGGAGCAAAUUAAAAAGAUAGUACCACAAGAGGAAGAGACGGCUAACUCUGUGCCAGCAGCCGCGGUAAUACCGAGGUCUCAAGCGUUGUUCGGAAUCACUGGGCGUAAAGCGUGCGUAGGCUGUUUCGUAAGUCGUGUGUGAAAGGCGCGGGCUCAACCCGCGGACGGCACAUGAUACUGCGAGACUAGAGUAAUGGAGGGGGAACCGGAAUUCUCGGUGUAGCAGUGAAAUGCGUAGAUAGCGAGAGGAACACUCGUGGCGAAGGCGGGUUCCUGGACAUUAACUGACGCUGAGGCACGAAGGCCAGGGGAGCGAAAAGGAUUAGAUACCCCAGUAGUC
Molecule: ribosomal RNA, 446 nt
Filed under: uncultured bacterium
Lineage: Bacteria
Description: partial 16S ribosomal RNA
Rfam family: Bacterial small subunit ribosomal RNA
Source: RNAcentral